AUGGAGGAAUCGAGGCCGAGGAGGGCGCAGCCGGCGCCGACGAGGAUCCAGACCGUGCCGAUCGCCGUCACGCCGGAGGGCUUCUGGUGCUGCCCCACGCCGACGACGCUGCACAAGAGCCUCAAGAACCCGCAUCACCACCACGGCCAUGGCGGCGGCAACAGCCACAGCCAUAGCCAUAGCCACAGCAAGCAGCAGCGCAAGAUCCCAUCGGUGCCCCCGUCCGUGGCGCCCUCCGUGGCCGAGGGAGCGGAUGAUGGAGGCGGUCUGCAGAUGGCGUGCGAGUCAAGGAGGUCCACCGCAAGCGGCCGAUGA
This 315-nucleotide ribosomal RNA is filed under the name Triticum aestivum (bread wheat). RNAcentral describes it as "partial small subunit ribosomal RNA". The record is from RNAcentral. Lineage: Eukaryota; Viridiplantae; Streptophyta; Magnoliopsida; Poales; Poaceae.